This 314-nucleotide long non-coding RNA is filed under the name Salvia miltiorrhiza (redroot sage). Its description in RNAcentral is "long non-coding RNA (SMIL_LNC012501)". The record is from RNAcentral. Lineage: Eukaryota; Viridiplantae; Streptophyta; Magnoliopsida; Lamiales; Lamiaceae.
UAUUUGAGGGAAGUAUAAAGAUUUUGAAGGUAAAUUUUACACUGUAUGAACACAACGGAGCGCAACUUAGUUGAUAAGACGUUUCUCCUCUAACUAAUAGGUUGAGGUUCAAAUCAUCAAGGGGGAAAAUGUGGAAUUAUUAUUGAUCAUUUUUGAAAAAAAAAAAAAACUUUACUCUGUAUGAACAACUGAUUCCAAUUUUCCCGGGCAGCCCCUUUUCCCACAUUUUCAUUCCAAAUCAUGAUAAUAUUAUCAUGACCUGCAGGUGUGAUUAAAUUUUUCCAUGAUCUAUAUUUUUUUGAUCUUUCAAUUUU